GUUUUGGAAGAGGUAUCGUGCAAAAUGGCUUGCUUUGGUUUAUAAUUUCAUGUAUUUGGCAUUCUUAGCUAUGUAGAUCGUGUUGAUGGAUAUUUCUUACAUACAUUGACAUGGUUGGAGUUAUUCUAGGAACUUCGUAAUGCGAGGUCAGCAUUUGAAGAGGCUCGUUUUAAUCUACCAAAAAGCGAUUUGAGUUUUUGGAAGCUGUCAGUGAGACUAUGGAUGCACAUCUUCAAUACUUCAAACAGGGCUAUGAAUUAUUGCAUCAAAUGGAGCCAUACAUUAAUUAGGACCAGCAAGAAGAUGAGGAAAUGCUUGUGCCACUCUAUGAUUUGACCGACAUUGACCAGCCCAUGGAAGUUGUAUAUCAAACCCGGACUACAAAUACUGUGUAAAAUCAACCAAUGAAGGUUCCUCCUUUAUCAAGAUUCACUUGGAAGAUUGAUAACUUCUCUAGGUUACACAAAAGGAAGCACUGUUCAGAUAAUUUUAUCCUUGAU
This is a long non-coding RNA of Hibiscus syriacus, 500 nucleotides long. RefSeq lists it as uncharacterized. The transcript has 5 exons. The record is from RefSeq and is a predicted model, not a curated record. NCBI's taxonomy places the organism in Eukaryota, Viridiplantae, Streptophyta, Magnoliopsida, Malvales, Malvaceae.